Molecule: ribosomal RNA, 271 nt
Filed under: uncultured prokaryote
Description: partial 16S ribosomal RNA
Rfam family: Bacterial small subunit ribosomal RNA
Source: RNAcentral
UACGGAGGAUCCGAGCGUUAUUCGGAUUUAUUGGGUUUAAAGGGUGCGCAGGCGGGAGAUUAAGUCGGCGGUGAAAUUUUGCAGCUCAACUGUAAAAGUGCCUUCGAAACUGGUUUCCUUGAGUGUGGAUGAAGUAGGCGGAAUUUGUGGUGUAGCGGUGAAAUGCAUAGAUAUCACGAGGAACUCCGAUUGCGCAGGCAGCUUACUAAACUACUACUGACGCUCAGGCACGAAGGCGUGGGGAUCAAACAGGAUUAGAUACCCGGGUAGU